GGCUCAAUGGUCUAGCGGUAUGAUUCCUGCUUUGGGUUCGCUCAUCUUGCAGGAGGUCCCGGGUUCAAUCCCCGGUUGAGCCC
Non-coding RNA from Fusarium irregulare, 83 nucleotides. The record is from the annotation of a GenBank genome assembly. Lineage: Eukaryota; Fungi; Ascomycota; Sordariomycetes; Hypocreales; Nectriaceae.